Molecule: ribosomal RNA, 173 nt
Filed under: Ophiopogon corifolius
Lineage: Eukaryota; Viridiplantae; Streptophyta; Magnoliopsida; Asparagales; Asparagaceae
Also listed under: 1 other name
Description: 5.8S ribosomal RNA
Rfam family: 5.8S ribosomal RNA
About the family: 5.8S ribosomal RNA (5.8S rRNA) is a component of the large subunit of the eukaryotic ribosome. It is transcribed by RNA polymerase I as part of the 45S precursor that also contains 18S and 28S rRNA.
Source: RNAcentral
ACGACUCUCGGCAACGGAUAUCUUGGCUCUCGCAUCGAUGAAGAACGUAGCGAAAUGCGAUACUUGGUGUGAAUUGCAGAAUCCCGUGAACCAUCGAGUCUUUGAACGCAAGUUGCGCCCGAGGCUAUCCGGCCGAGGGCACGCCUGCCUGGGCGUCACGCCUAGCGUCGCUC